This 492-nucleotide ribosomal RNA is filed under the name uncultured bacterium. Its description in RNAcentral is "partial 16S ribosomal RNA". It matches the Rfam family "Bacterial small subunit ribosomal RNA", at positions 29 to 507 of the family's 1533-position model. The record is from RNAcentral.
AGUGAACGCUGGCGGUAGGCCUAACACAUGCAAGUCGAACGGCAGCACAGUAAGAGCUUGCUCUUACGGGUGGCGAGUGGCGGACGGGUGAGGAAUACAUCGGAAUCUACUUUUUCGUGGGGGAUAACGUAGGGAAACUUACGCUAAUACCGCAUACGACCUACGGGUGAAAGCAGGGGAUCUUCGGACCUUGCGCGAUUGAAUGAGCCGAUGUCGGAUUAGCUAGUUGGCGGGGUAAAGGCCCACCAAGGCGACGAUCCGUAGCUGGUCUGAGAGGAUGAUCAGCCACACGGGAACUGAGACACGGUCCAGACUCCUACGGGAGGCAGCAGUGGGGAAUAUUGGACAAUGGGCGCAAGCCUGAUCCAGCCAUACCGCGUGGGUGAAGAAGGCCUUCGGGUUGUAAAGACCUUUUGUGGGGAAAGAAAAGCAGCAGGUUAAUACCCCGCUGUUCUGACGGUACCCAAAGAAUAAGCACCGGCUAACUUCGUG